Long non-coding RNA from Notolabrus celidotus (New Zealand spotty), 1381 nucleotides. RefSeq lists it as uncharacterized. The record is from RefSeq and is a predicted model, not a curated record. Lineage: Eukaryota; Metazoa; Chordata; Actinopteri; Labriformes; Labridae. The transcript is spliced from 3 exons.
UGAAACGAGCCGUUUCAGAUUUCCAUGGACUUGUUACGUCACAACAAUAUCCGGUCCGUGACGCAAGUCAGAGCUGGGAGCUUGUUCAGCCCUCAACUCCGCCUCCAAGUUCACUUUCUCUGCAGACUUCUACAGUCCAUGCUGCAGUCAAGUUUGUUUUACAAAGAUGUCGAACAAACGUGCUAAUCUAAGUUGCUCAGUUGUUGGCUGCUUAAAAAGACAUACAUGUAUGUUUUUACUCCCCAAGUCUGAAGAUGUGAAGACCCGGUGGAUGGAUUUUAUUUUUGAUGGAAAAGUGCCCACAACAACAGCUAAAAUGCUGUAUGUGUGAGCUAACCACUUCACCUCAGACUGCUUUUCUAACAAGGGACAGUACAAUGCAGGCUUUGCAGAAAAACUGCAGAUGAAACAUGGAUCAAUUCCGACUGUCCGUGACCCACAUUCAAACUCCGGAGCUGCCAGCACAUCAGAUGUAACUGUGGAGUUUCAUGCAACAAGGGAUGUUGCAUGUCAGACUGACCAGCUGCAGACACAUAGUGUAGGCACACAGCUGUCCCUGAAGACUCUUCAGCCUCAUGUCAGAAGUAAAGUUGUUCAUGCUGCUGUGUCCUGUAGGGAUUUUGGUGUUGGAGCAUCCAUUGCUACCUCUGCAGAUCCUCUGUGUUUCUCAUCAACACCAGUAAAGAGACCAUCAAAGAGAGCUCGUUUGGACCUCGUGGAGGAGGGGGAGGAGGAUCCGUUAGAGCAGCCAUUCUCAACCCUGGGGUCCCGACCCCAAUGGGGGUCGCGAGAUGAUUUCUGGGGGUCGCCAAAUAAUUUUCGAAAAAUAUAUCUAAUAUUAUAUUACAGAAUUUCAGUCAGGGAGCUGUUCUAGUUGCUUUGUGCUUCAUUACUUUUUCAAAAUGCAUUGUAUCAACUAAAUUUGUAUGAAUUGACCUGUGCGCGUGAGAUCAUGCUCCGUGACCCACGGCGGGAAAAAAGACAAAGAAAAACAAACCAUUAACCUCGCGCUACAUUUUGCAACAAGUUUGCUAGCUUUCUGAUGCUGUAAAAUGGAGCGAUGGCUUAAGAGAAAAAGUGUUCCAGCUCGAGACUUGGGUCAGCAGCAGGGGUCUCAGAGUCAGUCACCAGACAGUCUGACAGCAGGACCACCCCCUGAGAAACGGAAGGCACUGGGGCCGACACCGGCUGACUCCAGAGCUUCGAGGCUCCGUAAAUAUCAGCCCGACUUUCUUAAAUUUGGAUUUUCGUACAUGACUAAAAACAACGCAGAAUACCCACAAUGUGUCAUUUGCUCUGAAGUGCUGGCAAACGAGAGCUUGAAACCAGUAAAACUUAAGAGACAUUCUGAGACAAAACACAGCGGCUUCAUUGACAAGCC